UCUUAUCCUCCGCCGAGACGUUGAGGAUGCCGUUAGCGUCGAUGUCGAAACAGACGGUGAUCUGAGGGACACCACGCGGCGCAGGAGGGAUGCCGCUGAGCUCGAACUUCCCUAAAAGAUUGUUGUCUUUUGUCCUCGCUCUCUCUCCUUCGUAGACUUGGAUCAACACACCAGGCUGGUUGUCCGAGUAAGUAGAGAAGAUCUGCUCCUUCUUUGUCGGAAUCGUCGUGUUCCUCGGGAUCAAAACCGUCAUAACCCCACCGGCAGUCUCCAAGCCCAACGACAAAGGAGUGACGUCAAGAAGCAGUAAAUCUUGAACCUUCUCGUUCCCUUCACCGGUCAAGAUCGCAGCCUGGACCGCCGCGCCGUAAGCGACGGCCUCGUCGGGGUUAAUACUCUUACAAAGCUCCUUCCCGUUGAAAAAGUCUUGGAGAAGCUGCUGCACUUUAGGGAUCCUGGUGGACCCGCCGACGAGCACCACGUCGUGGACGUUGCUCUUGUCCAUCUUAGCGUCUCUCAGACACUUCUCCACCGGCUCCAUACAUUUUCUGAACAGAUCCAUGUUGAGCUCCUCGAACCUCGCGCGCGUAAUGGUCGUGUAGAAGUCGAUCCCUUCGUAGAGAGAGUCAAUCUCUAUGGUCGUCUGCGCGGUGGAAGAGAGAGUCCUCUUCGCUCUCUCGCAGGCUGUUCUCAGCCUGCGGAGAGCUCUCGGGUUACCCGUGAUGUCCUUCUUGUGCUUCCUCUUAAACUCUUGGACGAAGUGAUUAACCAUUCUGUUGUCGAAGUCCUCACCUCCGAGGUGAGUGUCACCAGCCGUCGCCUUCACUUCGAAGAUCCCUUCCUCAAUCGUGAGAAGAGAGACAUCGAAAGUCCCACCUCCCAAGUCGAAUAUAAGCACGUUCUUCUCACCAACGCUCGACGCCUUCUUGUCGAGACCGUAGGCAAUAGCAGCAGCUGUAGGUUCGUUGAUGAUACGCAUCACGUUGAGGCCGGAGAUGACUCCAGCGUCCUUUGUGGCUUGACGCUGAGAGUCGUUGAAGUAGGCGGGGACCGUGACGACGGCGUUUUUGAUGGAUGUGCCGAGGUAUGCUUCUGCUAUCUCGCGCAUUUUGGUGAGGACCAUGGAGGAGAUUUCUUCUGCGGAGAACUGUUUCUCUUCUCCCUUGUAGUUGACGCUGAUCAUUGGCUUCUCGGCUGGACCGGAGAUGACCUUGAAUGGCCAGUGUCUCAUGUCUGCUUGCACAGAGGGGUCGCUGAAUCUUCUGCCAAUAAGACGCUUAGCAUCUGCACGCAACAAUUAGUUCAGGUCAAUAUAAAUGUAAAUAAUGUUCGGAAAAAAUCACUAAACUGUAAUUAAAUUUUUUAAGACAGAAUUAAGAAAUUUCUAGCUAAUUAAGAAAUCGCUAAGACAUAAUUAAAACGUGCUGGACUUAUGUAAACGAUAACUAAGAAACUCGCAAAGUUAAACUUUAAAAAAAUAACAUAGAACAAAUUAGUAAUUUAAAAAUCACUCGGCAAUUAGAAAAACGGGAAUUAAAAAAAUUGUUAGAUGAUGAUUCACAGUUAACCAAUCUCUAGACAGUAACCAAGGUUUUGUAGAAUAUUAUCCCCACGGAUUUGCCGCGUUAAUACGGUUAGACCGGUUAAUAAAACACCUAUUAUUCGAAAACUAGAGCAGAGUUCAUGGGCAGUUAACUUACCAAAGACGGUGUUGGUAGGGUUCAUAGCGACUUGAUUCUUCGCAGCAUCUCCUAUGAGACG
This 1761-nucleotide long non-coding RNA is filed under the name Brassica napus (rape). RNAcentral's name for it is "long non-coding RNA (BNAP_LNC013464)". Lineage: Eukaryota; Viridiplantae; Streptophyta; Magnoliopsida; Brassicales; Brassicaceae. The record is from RNAcentral.